ACUCUUAUCAAAGUAGCGAAAUACCUCGUCACUUAAUUAGUGACCUGCAUGAACGGAGCUAUGAGGUUCUCACUGUCCCAAACUGUCUCUCAGCGAACCAACUGUAGUGGGAACGGUCACUAGAUAUCCAGCGGGGAAAGAAGACCCUGUAGAGCUUCACUUUGGUCUAGUCUUGUAUAGUUCCUGCGGGGGUGUAGACUAGGUGGGAGAGCAAUCGAUUCUGAAAAACCACUACCCUGUUUGGAAUUAUGCUUACCUAUCACAAGGAAUAGGACUAGAUAGAAAGUUUGGCUGGGGCGGCACACCUUCGAAAGAGCAGCGAAGGUGUCCUAAGUUGAGCUCAGUGAGGACAGAAAUCUCACGUUGAGGAUAAGGCCAAAAGCUCAAUUUACUGUGCCUUUUUGUACUAGGAUCAGUUACGAAAGUAAGGCCUAACGAUCCCUAAAUAGCCUCAGGUGCGUGAGGAUUGGGGUGACAGACAAGUUACCUCCGGGACAACUGGCUUGUGGCUGCUAAGAGAUCAAAUCAACGCAGCUUUUUGAUUCUUCGAUGUCGGCUCUUCCUAUCCUAGUGAUGUACAAGUUGCUAAGGGUCGGAUUGUUCACCCGUAUUAGGGAUCGUGAGCUGGGUUUAGACCGUCGUGAGCCAGGUUUGUUUUAUCCUACUGGAUAUAGCAUCAUGAUAGUAGAUUGAUUUAGUACGAGAGGAACUGUUGAUUAUGGCCUCUGGUUAGCGAUUAUCGGAAACGGUAUGUCGCGCAGCUACGCCGUCUGGGAUAAUGGCUGAAAGCCUCUUAAGCCAGAAGCCCAUCUAGAAAGUGAUGCACGUGAUGUUGGACCGAUACGAAUAAUCAUACUCAAAAGGUCCGCUUCAUAGGUAACCCCAAUGUAGAAGACAUUGUGUGAACGAAGGUACUGUAAGCAGUGGAGUGGCAUUACGUCCACGACCUGUUG
This 953-nucleotide non-coding RNA is filed under the name Trichomonas vaginalis G3. RNAcentral's name for it is "Eukaryotic large subunit ribosomal RNA". It matches the Rfam family "Eukaryotic large subunit ribosomal RNA", at positions 2268 to 3373 of the family's 3401-position model. The record is from Rfam by way of RNAcentral. Lineage: Eukaryota; Parabasalia; Trichomonadida; Trichomonadidae.